Molecule: transfer RNA, 82 nt
Filed under: Daphnia pulex (common water flea)
Lineage: Eukaryota; Metazoa; Arthropoda; Branchiopoda; Diplostraca; Daphniidae
Description: tRNA-Ser
Rfam family: tRNA
About the family: Transfer RNA (tRNA) molecules are approximately 80 nucleotides in length. Their secondary structure includes four short double-helical elements and three loops (D, anti-codon, and T loops). Further hydrogen bonds mediate the characteristic L-shaped molecular structure. tRNAs have two regions of fundamental functional importance: the anti-codon, which is responsible for specific mRNA codon recognition, and the 3' end, to which the tRNAs corresponding amino acid is attached (by aminoacyl-tRNA synthetases). tRNAs cope with the degeneracy of the genetic code in two manners: having more than one tRNA (with a specific anti-codon) for a particular amino acid; and 'wobble' base-pairing, i.e. permitting non-standard base-pairing at the 3rd anti-codon position.
Source: RNAcentral
GCAGAUAUGGCCGAGUGGUUAAGGAGACUGACUCGAAAUCAGUUUCCAUCUUGGAGCGUAGGUUCGAAUCCUACUAUCUGCG